RNAcentral lists this long non-coding RNA (311 nucleotides) under Nicotiana benthamiana. Its description in RNAcentral is "long non-coding RNA (NBEN_LNC010518)". The record is from RNAcentral. Lineage: Eukaryota; Viridiplantae; Streptophyta; Magnoliopsida; Solanales; Solanaceae.
GGAAAUUGGCCUGUUGCUAAAAGGCUCGAUGGUAAAUUUUACCAACCAUAUUGAAUUGGUUGGUAAACUUACAAACUAAAAAUUAGUUAGUAAACACCAAAUAAAUUUGUUGGCAAUUUUUGAAUAUUGAGUCCAAGAUUUUCGUUGGUAAAUUUACUAACAAAAAUUCAGUUGGAAGUUCGUUAGUAAAUUUACUAACAUAUAGAAAUCGAGUUAGUAAAAUUGGUUUUUGAUUAUUUAAAUUGUGUUUGUAAUUGGUUGGUAAAUAUAGUAACAAGAAAAAUUCCAUUAGUAUUAUGUUAGCAACUAUA